RNAcentral lists this long non-coding RNA (251 nucleotides) under Mytilus galloprovincialis (Mediterranean mussel). Lineage: Eukaryota; Metazoa; Mollusca; Bivalvia; Mytilida; Mytilidae. The record is from RNAcentral.
AAAGAGUCUUUGUUUUAUCCAGUAAAACAGCAUUCUUUUCUAAAUCAAGUUUAUUUUUCAAAAAUUAUAAUAUCGCAAAUAAUAAACGAUUUUAAUAUAAUCAAACAGAAUAAAAUAGUGUCAAAUACACUUACGUCCGAUACGUUACUUCUGUAAACCACGAGUACACACAUUUCCGCGGGAAUUUUUUAAGCACGAGUUUCACGAUUAACUUUUCAAUGGCUUUAUUGAAGUACGUUAGUCUAAAUUUA